Molecule: RNA transcript, 3549 nt
Organism: Solanum pennellii
Lineage: Eukaryota; Viridiplantae; Streptophyta; Magnoliopsida; Solanales; Solanaceae
Gene name: heterogeneous nuclear ribonucleoprotein Q-like
Exons: 13
Source: RefSeq, a predicted model, not a curated record
UAUGCCCUAGUGUUAUCUAGGCAUCAACUAGGCACAAAUAAAGCAAACCUAAGAGAGUAGCAAUUUGUAGCUCUUGUUUCUUUUUCACGACUCACAUACAUCUCCUUACCAACUAUGCCUCCAAAAUCAGCGAGAAAGACACCUACAGGUUCUGGAUCCAAAAGAGGUCGCCGUACAUCUCGUGCCACGCCAAAGUCUCUUCAGGAACCAAUGGAAGAAGAGAGUAAGGAUAACGCGGUCGAGCUCAAACAAGAAUUCAAAGUCCCUGAACAAAAGCAUGAGGAGCAUGAGCAACCGUUGAAUGCCAAACCUGUACAGAACAAGAAGGUGGAUGAUGUGAAAGAGUCAAUCGAUCAAUAUGAAAAGGGUGAGCGAUUAGAUUUGGAGGACAAUGACCCUGAAUAUGACCCUGAAGAGUAUGUCACUGUUGAUUAUGAUGAGAGAGGAAUUGAAAAUGAUGAUAUUCAGGAAGAGGGAGAUGAAAUAGAGGAAGUAUCUGAAGAGGUAGAUGUUGAUGAAGAGGAAGAGGGUGAUAUGGUGGAAGAGGAUGUUGAAGAUGUUCAUGAGGAAAUUGAGGGUGAUGAAGAAGAUGAGUAUGCUGGGGAGGAGCAUGCUGAGAUGGUUCAUGCCGCUGAGGAGGAAGAACAUCAUGAAGUUGUUAAAGAAAGGCGUAAGCGGAAGGAAAUUGAAAUAUUUGUUGGUGGUUUGGACAAGGAUGCUACUGAGGAUGAUCUCAGGAAGGUCUUCUGUAAAGUUGGCGAGGUUACCGAAGUGAGGCUUAUGAUGAAUUCUCAUACAAAGAAGAAUAAGGGAUUUGCGUUCCUGCGAUUUGCCACCAUGGAACAAGCAAAACGAGCUUGUACUGAGCUGAAAAAUCCAGUGAUCAAUGGAAAACAGUGUGGUGUCUCUCCAAGUCAAGACAAUGAUACUUUGUUUUUGGGUAACGUAUGCAAGACCUGGACAAAAGAAGCUUUAAAAGAGAAGCUGAAGCAUUAUGGUGUUGACAAUAUUGAGGAUUUGACGUUGGUCGAAGACACUAAUAAUGAGGGACUGAAUCGAGGAUUUGCUUUCUUGGAGUUCUCUUCGCGCUCAGAGGCAAUGGAUGCUUUUAAGCGGUUACAAAAGAGAGAUGUUAUGUUUGGUGUUGAUAGGCCUGCAAAGGUUUCUUUUGAGGAUUCAUUCAUUGAUCCUGGGGAUGAAAUCAUGUCACAGGUCAAAACGGUGUUUGUUGAUGGCCUUUCUGCAUCCUGGGACGAGGAUCGUGUGCGGGAGUUUCUUAAAGAAUAUGGGAAGAUUGAAAAAGUUGAGCUUGCCAGAAAUAUGCCUUCAGCCAAGAGAAAAGACUUCGGAUUUGUCACCUUUGACACCCAUGAAGCUGCAGUUACUUGUGCUAAAAGUAUUAAUAAUGAGGAAUUGGGUGAAGGAGAUAACAAGGUUAAAGUUAGGGCCAGAUUAUCAAGACCCCUUGAGAGGGGCAGAGGGAAAUAUGGUGGACGAGGAGAUUUGCGACCUUGGCGUAUUUCCAUGCAUGGUCCACGUGCCCCUUGGGGUCGUAUAGUGCCACAUAGUCGUGCUAUUCGAGGGACUAGAGUUAGUACACGCGUGCCUCCUGUAGUUAGUCGUGGUUUUAAGCGACCUGCAGGAUCGAGAGAUAGACGGGCUGUGAUGGAUUUGCCUCCUAGGGGAAGACCCACAGCUCCACCAUCUAGCAGAUCAUAUGACCGAAGACCACCUGUUCCCUCAUAUCCAAAGAGUAGCUUGAAGAGGGAGUAUGGACGGCGUGAGGAAAUCCCUCCUCCCAGAAGCAGAGCAAUAGCUGAGUAUCCUUCGAGGGUUCAUUCUGACAGACGUGCAUCCUAUAGGGAUGAGUAUUCUUCCCGUGGCUCUGGUUACCCUGAAUUGCCUAGAGGUACUCACUCUGCAGCAAGGAGAUCUUAUGUUGAUGAUGGAUAUGGGCAACGGUUUGAAAGGCCUCCAUCUUACCGCGAGGGACGUGGUCGUGAAUAUGACUCUGCAUCUGGUUCAAAACGUCCAUACACUGCAGGGGAUGAUGUUCAUCCCCGCUAUGCUGAGGCAGGAGUGCGGCAUUCUCGUGCUCGUUUGGAUUACGAACUUGGCAGUGGAAGCGGCUCCCAUUAUGGAGAUUCAUAUGGUGACAGUAGACUUGGGAGAUCAAAUCUUGGAUAUGGUGGCAGUAGGGGCUCACUUUCUGGUCAAUAUUCUCAUGGGAUGUAUAGCAGUCGUCAGGAUAUGGGUUAUGGUGGAGGCUCCUAUGGUGGAAGUGAUGUAGGUGGAAUGUAUUCAUCCAGCUAUGGUUGACUCGGUUUAUACUAGUCGUGGCAUGGGUGGCAGUGGUUAUACGGGAAGUGGUGGUUCUGGAUCAUACUACUAAAAAGGUGACAUCCGGUAACGGAUGCUGCCGAGGCUUUAAAAGAUUAUGUUAGAAGACUUUAUGUACAUGCUUAUCACUCUUGGAGCGAGAUCCCAAAUAAUAUACGCCAGAUGAUGUUUAAUAACUUAAAGAUAUAUAUUUUUUAGUUAAGCUUAGUAUGCUUUACUUUUUUUAGCUAUCGAUCUAUUGACUUUAUUCAAUUUUUUUAUUUAGACUAUGUGUACUUGAGAUUCGAGGCACAAUCAUGUCACUACGAUCACAUUUGAGAGGAAGGCAUCCGCCAGAUUGUCUACUUGGCUAAAGAAAGCUCGGGAUAGUGCUGAAUGUCCGGAUUGAAUGUUGCCGCAUGUUUUUGAUGAGCUGGGUCUGUAUUGUAACACAUACAAGUUUAAGGCGAUAUCAAACCAAGCCAAAAAGAAAAGGCUAGAGGCAGUUUAAUGGUGGCUCGUUGCACACCGGAGGUGCAAAGUCGUUGGAACAAUUACAAGAGAGAUGAUAAGUUCUAAUUCAAACUUUUAAAUAAAUAAUUAUUUGAUUCAUAUAUAUCAUAUAAAUUUCAAUUUUUUAUGUAUAGGAAAAAGAAUUGGGACGCACUCCUAUUGCACGGGAGGUUUUUAGGAAGACUCAUGUCAAUUAGAAAGAAAAUGAGUCGGAUCCGGAUGUGUGGGUGGAAGAAAGAGGCAAACGAACUUUUUAAAAAUGAGUUUUAGAAGUACGUCGCUGAGAAUAUAGAUAGGUCUGUUCAAUUGAUACAUGAACUUUUCACGCGGAUUUGGAAAGCAAAAUUAGUUUGGGGACACACAAGGGUAGAGUCUAUGGCCUAGGCUCUCUAAACGAUGUAAGACGACUCCAGUCAGGCUUAGAAGGAAUUGCAUCAUCAAGUCAAGUCGAGUUACUUGACGGUGUUCAGGUUGCUGCUAUGUUGGAUCAAAUAGCUAAACUUACCACUGCGCUGGAAGAGUUGAAUCAUAGAUGAGUAGCUGAACAAGAAAACAUGAGUGCGACCGUUCAGCAAAUCAAAGAACAAAUGAUGAACCUCGGUCGCCGACCUACUACUUCGGCUCCUGAUGACACUUACGACAGUACUGAUGAUGAGGAUGAUUGUAUAGAACCCACUCCCUAGUUUAGAUUUCUACACAUUUAUGAUUUUCUUGAAA